UCCAAUUUUUCUUGUUGGUUCGGUUGUGUGUGCAUGUGCUCUCCGGCGCUGUUGAGCAUGGUUGUUGUUGCUGGUUGUUUGGAUGUGAUGGAGGAGAACGGAGAUGGAGGUCUUUUGGGUGGAAAUGGUGACUGAUGCAGAAGAACGACGCAGAAGGAGGUGGUAUUUGGUUUUCCGGCAGGUUUUUUCGAUAUGGGGAAGGUGACGACGCAACAAGGGGCUGAGCUUGGUGUGACUGGUGGCACGGGGGGUCAUUUAUGUUGAGGAUGACGACGUGGAAGGGGUGUGGAUUGCUGGCUUACGAGUGAAGGGCGGACUGCAACUACUGGAGACAGAAAAUCAGCAGCAGUGGCUGGAGC
This 359-nucleotide long non-coding RNA is filed under the name Nicotiana benthamiana. RNAcentral describes it as "long non-coding RNA (NBEN_LNC012941)". The record is from RNAcentral. Lineage: Eukaryota; Viridiplantae; Streptophyta; Magnoliopsida; Solanales; Solanaceae.